UUUCAUUUGGGAGGAAAAAGGGAAAUAUCCUCUUUUGAAAUGAAGGAUAAGUUUUUAAGAAAUUACAUACUGGCUCUGUCCUCAUCCCUCUUUAGCUCUUAGGAAACAAGGAUUGCUGAUCCAUACAACACCUUUGGAGUCCGCAGUUCCAGGAGUUCUGGAAGAAGUAAAGUGGGAAGGACCUUACCAAAUGUUACAGAUGACUGAGACUGAAGCCCAGAGGCUGAGAACACCAGGUUUAAAGGACCUUGGAGGAACCUGAAGAAUGGAUUGUUAAAGACAAUUUAUAUCCUCUAAAAUUUGCUUUGCAAUUAGGAAUGUUUUUGUGGGAGGGGAGAUUGUGCUUAGAGGAAUUUUAACAAUAUUGAUGUUGCACCUAGUAUUUAUAUUUCCAGAAAAGUUUAUAGAAACUCCUUGAUUGGAGAAAGUUGAAUUAACAUUUUUUUAGGCUGAAGAAAUCAUUAAUGUUAAUUCUGAUAAGGUUCUUUAAUGUGAAAUUAAUAUAUUCUAUAUUCUAUAUGAGUUUUAAUUGGUUGUAUUGAGUCAUUUUAAAGCUGUUCCCAUUGUUUAGGGAGAUUCUGAGAGCAGUGGUCUAUGUCAUUGUCCCUUUGAACAUGGUUAAUACCUAAACAUGUUUUGGUAUCAAUUUGUUAUUGAACAUCUUAAAGUAAAAUUAUUUGUGUAAUAUUAAAUUUAAAAUCUAUUUAGAUAUGAAAAUAAGCUGUGAACUUUUUAGGAUGGAUCUCUUAUAGUUAUCAAUGUAAGUAGGUAUAGUCAAUACUUAUUUAGAGCAUGUGAUCCUUCCUUGAGAGCUAAUUCACCUGAAGCUUUGAUUAAGAAGAUUUCAUAUUUGACAUAAAAUCUCUUGGUACUGUAACUGAUUUUUUAUUUCAGAUAUGAUUGUUUGAUGGAUCAUCAAGCCAGUAAUACACCAUCUGAAAAGAAUAUGCCACAAGUCACUCAGAUGAAUGUGAUGCUGAAUUGUUACAGAUUCACAGUUCAAAUGAGAAUCAUGGAUAUGAUGCUAAAAAGAAGAUUAAAGAAUCAUCUAAUCAGUCUUAAUUUUUGAGGUAAGGAAACUAAGGACUAAAAAGAUGAGUAAUUUGUCAAAGAAAAGUUAGCAGCAGAACCAGGAAUAGAGACUGUCUCUUAAUAUAAAAUUCUUAUCCCAUGCUGCUUUUUGCUCCCUUUCACUCUAUAUUACUAUUCAAUAUGUCAUAUUUGUAAAUCCUCAAUAAAAAGUUCUGAAUAUAUG
This 1255-nucleotide long non-coding RNA is filed under the name Sarcophilus harrisii (Tasmanian devil). Its description in RNAcentral is "lncRNA (ENSSHAG00000028508.1)". Lineage: Eukaryota; Metazoa; Chordata; Mammalia; Dasyuromorphia; Dasyuridae. The record is from RNAcentral.